AGUGAACGCUGGCGGCAGGCCUAACACAUGCAAGUCGAACGGCAGCACAAGAGAGCUUGCUCUCUGGGUGGCGAGUGGCGGACGGGUGGGGAAUGCAUCGGAAUCUGCCCAUUUGUGGGGGAUAACCUCGGGAAACCGGGACUAAUACCGCAUACGACCUACGGGUGAAAGCAGGGGAUCUUCGGACCUUGCGCAGAUGGAUGAGCCGAUGCCGGAUUAGCUAGUUGGAGGGGUAAAGGCCCACCAAGGCGACGAUCCGUAGCUGGUCUGAGAGGAUGAUCAGCCACACUGGGACUGAGACACGGCCCAGACUCCUACGGGAGGCAGCAGUGGGGAAUAUUGGACAAUGGGCGCAAGCCUGAUCCAGCCAUGCCGCGUGUGUGAAGAAGGCCUUCGGGUUGUAAAGCACUUUUGUUGGGAAAGAAAAGCAGCCGGUUAAUACCCGGUUGUCAUGACGGUACCCAAAGAAUAAGCACCGGCUAACUUCGUG
This 490-nucleotide ribosomal RNA is filed under the name uncultured bacterium. Its description in RNAcentral is "partial 16S ribosomal RNA". It matches the Rfam family "Bacterial small subunit ribosomal RNA", at positions 29 to 507 of the family's 1533-position model. The record is from RNAcentral.